UACAGAGGUGGCAAGCGUUGUUCGGAAUUACUGGGCGUAAAGGGCGCGUAGGCGGUCUUUUAAGUCUUGUGUGAAAUCCCUCGGCUCAACUGAGGAACUGCACGGGAUACUGGAAGACUUGAGUUCGGGAGAGGGAAGCGGAAUUCCGGGUGUAGCGGUGAAAUGCGUAGAUAUCCGGAGGAACACCGGUGGCGAAGGCGGCUCCCUGGACCGAUUACUGACGCUGAGGCGCGAAAGCUAGGGGAGCAAACGGG
Molecule: ribosomal RNA, 254 nt
Filed under: uncultured bacterium
Lineage: Bacteria
Description: partial 16S ribosomal RNA
Rfam family: Bacterial small subunit ribosomal RNA
Source: RNAcentral